AGAGUUUGAUCCUGGCUCAGGAUGAACGCUAGCUACAGGCUUAACACAUGCAAGUCGAGGGGAAACGAUAUUGGAAGCUUGCUUCCGAUAGGCGUCGACCGGCGCACGGGUGAGUAACGCGUAUCCAACCUGCCCACCACUUGGGGAUAACCUUGCGAAAGUAAGACUAAUACCCAAUGAUAUCUCUAGAAGACAUCUGAAAGAGAUUAAAGAUUUAUCGGUGAUGGAUGGGGAUGCGUCUGAUUAGCUUGUUGGCGGGGUAACGGCCCACCAAGGCAACGAUCAGUAGGGGUUCUGAGAGGAAGGUCCCCCACAUUGGAACUGAGACACGGUCCAAACUCCUACGGGAGGCAGCAGUGAGGAAUAUUGGUCAAUGGACGAGAGUCUGAACCAGCCAAGUAGCGUGCAGGAAGACGGCCCUAUGGGUUGUAAACUGCUUUUAUAAGGGAAUAAAGUGAGAGUCGUGACUCUUUUUGUAUGUACCAUAUGAAUAAGGAUCGGCUAACUCCGUGCCAGCAGCCGCGGUAAUACGGAGGAUCCGAGCGUUAUCCGGAUUUAUUGGGUUUAAAGGGAGCGUAGGCGGAUUGUUAAGUCAGUUGUGAAAGUUUGCGGCUCAACCGUAAAAUUGCAGUUGAUACUGGCAGUCUUGAGUGCAGUAGAGGUGGGCGGAAUUCGUGGUGUAGCGGUGAAAUGCUUAGAUAUCACGAAGAACUCCGAUUGCGAAGGCAGCUCACUGGAGUGUAACUGACGCUGAUGCUCGAAAGCGUGGGUAUCAAACAGGAUUAGAUACCCUGGUAGUCCACACAGUAAACGAUGAAUACUCGCUGUUUGCGAUAUACAGUAAGCGGCCAAGCGAAAGCAUUAAGUAUUCCACCUGGGGAGUACGCCGGCAACGGUGAAACUCAAAGGAAUUGACGGGGGCCCGCACAAGCGGAGGAACAUGUGGUUUAAUUCGAUGAUACGCGAGGAACCUUACCCGGGCUUAAAUUGCAAAUGAAUUAUGGGGAAACCCAUAGGCCGUAAGGCAUUUGUGAAGGUGCUGCAUGGUUGUCGUCAGCUCGUGCCGUGAGGUGUCGGCUUAAGUGCCAUAACGAGCGCAACCCUUAUCUUCAGUUACUAACAGGUCAUGCUGAGGACUCUGGAGAGACUGCCGUCGUAAGAUGUGAGGAAGGUGGGGAUGACGUCAAAUCAGCACGGCCCUUACGUCCGGGGCUACACACGUGUUACAAUGGGGGGUACAGAAGGCCGCUACCUGGUGACAGGAUGCCAAUCCCAAAAACCUCUCUCAGUUCGGAUCGAAGUCUGCAACCCGACUUCGUGAAGCUGGAUUCGCUAGUAAUCGCGCAUCAGCCAUGGCGCGGUGAAUACGUUCCCGGGCCUUGUACACACCGCCCGUCAAGCCAUGAAAGCCGGGGGUACCUGAAGUACGUAACCGCAAGGAGCGUCCUAGGGUAAAACUGGUAAUUGGGGCUAAGUCGUAACAAGGUA
RNAcentral lists this ribosomal RNA (1488 nucleotides) under metagenome. Its description in RNAcentral is "bacterial SSU rRNA". It matches the Rfam family "Bacterial small subunit ribosomal RNA". The record is from RNAcentral.